GAUGAACGCUGGCGGCAUGCCUAAUACAUGCAAGUCGAACGAGAGGAAGGAAAGCUUGCUUUUCUGAAUCUAGUGGCGAACGGGUGAGUAACACGUAGGUAACCUGCCCAUGUGCCCGGGAUAACUUCUGGAAACGGAUGCUAAAACCGGAUAGGUAGCAGACAAGCAUUUGACUGCUAUUAAAGUGGCUAAGGCCAUGAACAUGGAUGGACCUGCGGUGCAUUAGCUAGUUGGUGAGGUAACGGCCCACCAAGGCGACGAUGCAUAGCCGGCCUGAGAGGGCGGACGGCCACAUUGGGACUGAGACACGGCCCAAACUCCUACGGGAGGCAGCAGUAGGGAAUUUUCGUCAAUGGGGGGAACCUUGAACGAGCAAUGCCGCGUGAGUGAAGAAGGUCUUCGGAUCGUAAAGCUCUGUUGUAAGAGAAAAACGACAUUCAUAGGGAAUGAUGAGUGAGUGAUGGUAUCUUACCAG
RNAcentral lists this ribosomal RNA (475 nucleotides) under uncultured bacterium. Its description in RNAcentral is "bacterial SSU rRNA". It matches the Rfam family "Bacterial small subunit ribosomal RNA", at positions 28 to 486 of the family's 1533-position model. The record is from RNAcentral.